GCCAAAGGGCUAAGUGGGCCCCUUCGACUCGGCAGGCCGGCAGACGUGACGGCAAUGUGAAGGAAGUCAAGUUUCUUUGUCCAUUCCUCACCUCCUCCUCCUCUCCAUCCUUAGACCUCCGAGGAACUCUAGUGUAUAGGAGGGAGCACCCAGCUACGGAUUCUAUACCCUCUAACCAUAAUUCUUCGUUUACAUAUGCCCGACCUUGCAGUUGGUCCCCAAACCAAAGGGGAAGGGAAUCUAACGGUUAAAGAAAGGGCAGCCAAGCCUCCAAAGUGCAUCCCAUCUGCCUGGAAGCCAGAUAUUCUCUUUUAAACUCAUUGUUUGGAUCUUGGAAUGUGUCUCCCAUAGAAACAAUGUUAUAAACGGCUAUCCGUUCCCAGACCAGCCAGCCUCAAAUGUGCGGAGGCCAAAGCGCAGCUGCGGGGUGGUGCUGGAAAUGUCCCACAACACUGAACAAGAAGGCUACUGAUCGGCUUUUUCUACUGUGAAAGGGGAGGGGGGUGUUAGGGAGAUAAAUGCAUCUAGUUCUUUCCCCUUGAGCUAUAAACACAAACCGGGUCCAUUAAUUUCUUUCACUGGAGCCAUUACUGUGUUUCAGGUUUCCCCAGGUCCUGCCUUGCUACAUGAUGCCCUUACCAACCUCUCUGCUGAUUUGUUUCUUCCAUGGUAUUGUUGGAAAGGCUUUGCCCAGGGUGCAACCUCCUUAUACACAAUGGGGGCUCCCUAAGCUUUAAAGCUGGCACAAGUGUCACCUUUCCUUUGCAAUAUCACCACCUCUCGCCCUGCUUUCUCGGUGGCCUCGCAGAAGGGUUUCCAGACACAUCUGCAGGGAGCAUCUUGCCGUGCUGAGAACCAGCCUAGCUGCGGUCCUUGUCCUCCUCCACCUGCCUGCCUGUAAGUACUCAGCACACAGCAAACGAAAGGAAGAAAUGUAUUUGACAGAGUGUUGAAUGCCCAAGAGUGGUGUCUGUGGGGGCAACACAUGGGUUGUACCACACACGCGUGAUUGCCAUUCGGAACCCCCACGUGUUACAAACAGCAGCUCAUGCAGGCCUCACACAGUCUCAGGAGGUGGCUCUACUCCUGCACCAAGCCAGCAAGUGACUCAUUCAAGAUCAGAGACAGAAGUACGGUCCCUUGGUCCCUAGGCACUUCUGCUUCCUUCCUUCUGAGCAGCCAGGCUCAGCUGAGAGAUGAUGCCCGCUGAUCUUUACCUAGACUGCUAGCUCGCUUCCACUGACACCUGAAACCAGGUGAGGAACCUGAUCUGAGGCUGAGGCUGGCUUACGUCCCCGAGUUGGGUGGAGUCAAGUUUAUCUCAUGCUUAGUCUCCCAGCAGGCCUUGGAACCUGGGCGGAAACACAAUGCCCAGCUACUACCCCAGCCAACUUAUGAGGUUAGCAGAAGUUCCUGCUCAGUAUCUUCUCCUCACUCGCACCCUUUUGAAGUUCAACUAUGAUUUG
Molecule: long non-coding RNA, 1466 nt
Organism: Mus musculus (house mouse)
Lineage: Eukaryota; Metazoa; Chordata; Mammalia; Rodentia; Muridae
Product: predicted gene, 31179
Exons: 3
Source: RefSeq, a predicted model, not a curated record